This 496-nucleotide ribosomal RNA is filed under the name uncultured bacterium. RNAcentral describes it as "partial 16S ribosomal RNA". It matches the Rfam family "Bacterial small subunit ribosomal RNA", at positions 29 to 507 of the family's 1533-position model. The record is from RNAcentral.
AUGAACGCUGGCGGCGUGCCUAAUCCAUGCAAGUCGAGCGAACAGACGCGGAGCUUGCUCCUCUGACGUUAGCGGCGGCCGGGUGAGUAUCACGUGGAUAACCUACCUAUAAGACUGGGAUAACUUCGGGAAACCGGAGCUAAUACCGGAUAAUAUAUUGAACCGCAUGGUUCAAUAGUGAAAGACGGUUUUGCUGUCACUUAUAGAUGGCUCCGCGCCGCAUUAGCUAGUUGGUAAGGUAACGGCUUACCAAGGCAACGAUGCGUAGCCGACCUGAGAGGGUGAUAGGCAACACGGGAAGGGAGACACGGUCAAGACGCCUAAGGGAGGCAGCAGUAGGGAAUCUUACGCAAUGGGCGAAAGCAUGACGGAGCAACGCCGCGUGAGUGAUGAAGGUCUUCGGAUCGUAAAACUCUGUUAUUAGGGAAGAACAAAUGUGUAAGUAACUAUGCACGUCUUGACGGUACCUAAUCAGAAAGCCACGGCUAACUACGUG